This 660-nucleotide ribosomal RNA is filed under the name uncultured Candidatus Poseidoniales archaeon. Its description in RNAcentral is "bacterial SSU rRNA". It matches the Rfam family "Archaeal small subunit ribosomal RNA", at positions 1 to 665 of the family's 1478-position model. Lineage: Archaea; Methanobacteriati; Thermoplasmatota; Candidatus Poseidoniia; Candidatus Poseidoniales. The record is from RNAcentral.
UUCCGGUUGAUCCUGCCGGAAGCUACCGCUAUUGGAGUUCGAUUAAGCCAUGCGAGUCGAGAGUCUUAGGGACUCGGCGUACCGCUCAGAACACGUGGGUAACCUGCCCUGUGCUGGGGAAUAACCUCGGGAAACUGAGAAUAAUGCCCCAUAGUUCACCACGCCUGGAACGGUGGGUGGAUCAAAGCUCCGGCGGCACAGGAUGGGCCUGCGGCGUAUCAGGUCGUAGGGGGUGUAACGUACCCUCUAGCCUUCAACGCGUACGGGUUGUGGGAGCAAUCGCCCGGAGAUGGAUUCUGAGACACGAAUCCAGACCCUACGGGGGUGCAGCAGGCGCGAAAAACUUCACACUGCAGGAAACUGUGAUGAGGGAAUUCCAAGUGGCUAGACAAAGUCUAGUCUUUUUUGUAACUUUUAAUCGGUUGCAGAAUAAGGGGUGGGAAAAGACCGGUGCCAGCCGCCGCGGUAAUACCGGCACCUCAAGUGGUCGUCGCUUUUAUUGGGCCUAAAACGUCCGUCGCCUGUUUGGUACAUUCGUGGGUGAAUCAAGCCGCUCAACGGCUUGAAUUCUGCGAGGACGGCCAGACUAGGGACCGGGAGAGGUAUGGGGUACUCUCAGGGUAGGGGUAAAAUCCAGUCAUCCUGAGGGGACCACCUGUU